Molecule: ribosomal RNA, 2885 nt
Filed under: human gut metagenome
Description: bacterial LSU rRNA
Rfam family: Bacterial large subunit ribosomal RNA
Source: RNAcentral
GAAAUUGAAGAAGGGCGCAUGGUGGAUGCCUAGGCUCAAGGAGGCGAUGAAGGACGUGGGAAGCUGCGAUAAUCUGCGGUUAGGCGCAACCGGCCAUUGACCCGCAGGUCUCCGAAUGGGACAACCCGCCGCCGAAAGGCGGCAUCACGCAGUGAGCGUGAGGCGAACGCGGGGAACUGAAACAUCUUAGUACCCGCAGGAAGAGAAAACAACAGUGAUUCCCCCAGUAGUGGCGAGCGACCGGGGAACAGCCCAAACCGUCGGCGUUUCGGCGCCGUCGGGGUAGUAGGGCCGCAAUGUCGCACAAGCACCGUUAAGCGGAACGGACUGGAACGUCCGGCCAUAGCGGGUGAAAGCCCCUUACGCGCCGUCGGUGCUGGCGUAGCGGUUCCCUGAGUAGCGCGGGGCACGAGAAACCCUGUGCGAAUCCGCCGGGACCAUCCGGCAAGGCUAAAUACUCCCUUGAGACCGAUAGUGAACAAGUACCGUGAGGGAAAGGUGGGAAGCACCCCGUCGAGGGGAGUGAAACAGACCCUGAAACCAUGCGCCUACAAGCGGUCGGAGCACGCAUGUGCGUGUGACGGCGUGCCUUUUGCAUAAUGAACCUACGAGUUGCCGUCGCCGGCGAGGUUAACCGUGAAGACGCGGGGAGCCGCAGUGAGAGCGAGCCUGAAGAGGGCGCAUAGUCGGCGGUGGCAGACGCGAAACCAAGUGAUCUACACUUGGCCAGGGUGAAGUCCCGGUAACGCGGGAUGGAGGCCCGAACCGAUAAGCGUUGAAAAGCUUCCGGAUGAGCCGAGUGUAGGAGUGAAAGGCCAAUCAAACUUGGAGAUAGCUCGUACUCCCCGAAAGGCAUUUAGGUGCCGCGUGGGGUGUUCCGGGCGCGAGGUAGAGCGACCGAUAGGACGCGAGGGCUUCACCGCCUGUCAAGUCCUGACGAACUCCGAAUGCGCGUCCGCAGAAGCCCUGCAGUAAGGGGGCGGGUGCUAAGGUCCGCCCCCGAGAGGAGAAGAAUCCAGACCGCCGUCUAAGGCCCCGGAAUUCUGCCUGAGUUAGUCUAACGAAGUGUGCCCCCUGGGACAGCCAGGAUGUUGGCUUGGAAGCAGCCAUUCAUUCAAAGAGUGCGUAACAGCUCACUGGUCGAGGGGGCUCGCGUGGAUAAUAAUCGGGUAUAAGGCAGAUGCCGAAGGCGCGGGAUAUCGAAAGAACGUAUCGGUAGGGGAGCAUUCCAGGUGCGCAGAAUGCAAGGGGCGACCCUUGCUGGAGCGCCUGGAAAGGCAAAUGUAGGUAUGAGUAACGACAAGGGGGGCGCGAACCCCCCCCGCCGCAAGGCCAAGGUUUCCCGGGCGAUGCCAGUCAUCCCGGGGUAAGUCGGGCCCUAAGCCUAAGCCGAAUGGCGAUGGCGAUGGCAGACACGGUUGAUAUUCCGUGACUGCCCGUGCGGGCGAUGCGGCAACGGAGAAGUGACACCGCCGCGCGCAGACGGAACUGCGCGUUGAAGGGUGUAGGCGUCGAGGGGCGCAGUCAAGCACACGCCCCGAGCCGAACCUGAGAGUACGGCGCUCCAUUCGUGGAGGGCCGAGAGUGCGGGUAAUCCGGCUCCCAAGAAACCCCGCUAAGCUUAACCGCACGGGCACCCGUACCGCAAACGGACACACGUGGCCGGGUAGAGCAUACCAAGGCGUUGAGAGACUCAUGGUCAAGGAACUAGGCAAACCAGCCCCGUAACUUCGGGAGAAGGGGUCCUCCCCCUGUGGGAGGCGCAGCGAACAGGCCCAGGCAACUGUUUACCAAAAACACAGGGCUGUGCAAACUCGAGAGAUGAAGUAUACAGCCUGACACCUGCCCGGUGCCGGAAGGUUAAGAGGAGGCGUCACCGCAAGGGAAGCGCCGAGUUGAAGCCCCGGUAAACGGCGGCCGUAACUAUAACGGUCCUAAGGUAGCGAAAUUCCUUGUCGGGUAAGUUCCGACCUGCACGAAUGGUGUAAUGAUCCGGACGCUGUCUCAACCGUGAGCUCAGUGAAAUUGUAGUAUCGGUGAAGAUGCCGAUUACCCGCGAUGGGACGAAAAGACCCCGUGAACCUUUACUGCAGCUUAGCGCUGACCUUGGCCAUCGGAUGUGUAGGAUAGGCCGGAGGCAAUGAAGGCGCCACGCCAGUGGUGCCGGAGCCGCCGUUGAAAUACGGCCCUUCCGCUGUCCGGGGUCUAACGCGCGAUGCGCGGACACCGCUUGGCGGGCAGUUUGACUGGGGUGGUCGCCUCCAAAAGCGUAACGGAGGCUUCCAAAGGUGCCCUCAGGCCGAUUGGCAACCGGCCUAAAUGAGUGCAAUGGCAAAAGGGCGCUUGACUGGGAGGGGGACACCCCGAGCAGGCAGGAAACUGGGGCAUAGUGAUCCGGCGGUUCCGCAUGGAAGGGCCGUCGCUCAAAGGAUAAAAGGUACUCCGGGGAUAACAGGCUGAUCCCCCCCAAGAGCUCACAUCGACGGGGUGGUUUGGCACCUCGAUGUCGGCUCGUCACAUCCUGGGGCUGGAGAAGGUCCCAAGGGUUGGGCUGUUCGCCCAUUAAAGUGGCACGCGAGCUGGGUUCAGAACGUCGUGAGACAGUUCGGUCUCUAUCUAUCGUGGGCGCGGGAGCCUUGCGCGGUUCGGCCACUAGUACGAGAGGACCGUGGUUGACAGACCUCCGGUAAGCCGGUUGUGCCGCCAGGCGCACGGCCGGGUAUCCGCGUCUGGUCAGGAUAAGCGCUGAAAGCAUCUAAGCGCGAAGCCGUCCGCAAGAUUAGGGCUCCUUGAGGGCCGUCGCAGACUACGACGUUGAUAGGGCGCAGGUGUAAAGGCGGCGACGCCAAAGCCGAGCGCUACUAAUUGCCCGAACGUUUCGACCC